CUACGGCCCUGCUUCAGACAGUAUCUUCCCUCAUCGAGAUGAUCCCUUCCAAGUCCUAGCCUUCUUCUAAUUUCGAGACUGCAAUCUCAUGUCCCCCAAAUCCCACAGUAAACCAUUCAGAGAAUUCUGAGCAUUAUAGGCUAACAAAUAACCUUUCCAGGCUCUGGUUUUAGGAAGACGAGACCAUAGCACUGCCCAUAAGAGAGUCCAAGUGUUUCAGUUCCCAGCCCCCAUCCUUUCCACACCACUUCCUUGUUUGUCCCCGAAACUCAAGAAUGUGAAACUCCUCCAAUGGUCUCAGCUUUAACCCUUAAUUCCUGAGAAGAGAAUGUCCCUGGGAGUAGUAGAGAAUGUGGAAUUUAAGGCUGCUUGCUAUUCCUAAAGGCCUUCAACAAUAGAAUAAAUCCUACUGAAUGCAAUGAGACCUAGCGUCAAAGAUUUUCCGAGAGGUAGAUCAGUUUGUCUCUUGACUGGAAAACCAACAACAAAUAGUCUAGUGGCACCUCAAAGACUUCACUAGUUUUAUUUGGGACAUGUUUUUAUGGACCACAAUCAGAACCACAGUUUGCUGCCUCAGAUAUAUAGGAGUCAGGAGAUUGAGUGGGCAUUUAAACGUACAUGGCUGAAACAUUUCUUCUUAUUCUGGUCAUUAACAAACAGUAGUUAAGACUGCUGUGAGUUUUCCAGGCUGUAUGGCCAUGUUCCAGAAGCGUUCUGUCCUGACGUUUCGCCCACAUCUAUGUCAGGCAUCCUCAGAGGUUGUGAGGUCUGUUGGAAACUAGGUAAGUGGGGUUUAUCUAUCUGUGGAAUGUCCAGGGUGGGAGUAGUCAGGAUGUAACAUAGAUAUUCUUACCUCAGAUGAACAGGCUAAUAUAGAUGAGAAGAUUUUGGGUGCAUCUCUACACUGUAGAAUUAAUACAGUUUGACAUCACCUUAACUGCCAUGUCUCACUGCUAUGGAAUCAAAUUAAUUUUAGUUUGGCGAAGCACUAGCACUCCUUGGCAGAGAUAAAGACCUCGUAAAACUACAACUUUCAUUUUGUGUGUGUCAGGAAUGACUUGAGAAACUGCAAGUCGCUUCUGGUGUGAGAGAAUUGGACAUCUGCAAGGACAUUGCCCAGGGGACGGUAGGACAUUUGAUGAUUUACCAUCCUUGUGGGAGGCUUCUCUUAUGUCCCCGCAUGGAGAGCUGGAGCUGACAGAGCGAGCUCACCCUGGAUUCGAACCGCUGACCUGCCUGUCAGCAGUCCUACUGGCACAACUCCCAUGAUUCUAUAGCAUUGAACCAUGGUAGUUAAAGUGGUGCUAAACUAUAAUAUAGAUGUACCCAGAGACAGAGGAUGUGAAAAUUAUCUUUCUUCCCAUUAUGAAAUUACAAGAACCAUUCCUUUCUCUUGUAAUGCCUUACGGGGCAGAAACUCAAGUAGGUUGGAAAGAAUAUAGGCUAGAUAAAUUAAGCAGUAUAGCCUUGCUUAGGAGAGAAACAUUCAGCUCCGUUUCCUUGUUGUAGGAGAGGUGGGAUCAGGGUAUUUGCAGAACAAGGAAGUGGGCCCAUUGUUUGGACCCCCUGGUGGGUGUAAAUUACCCACCUUGUUGGGGCAUGACAAUGAACCAUUGAAAUGGGUCCAGCUAGAAGAUCCGGCCCUUUCAUGUCUCUGGGUGGAGGUUGGGACAAGGAAGAACAACAACAAUGGAACAAAGAAACACAGUUGGGAUGGGGGAAGGAAAGAAAAUAGCCAGUUUUAAAAACUUUAACUGCCAUGGGUCAAAAAGUAUAACAGAGUCUGUACUUUUUUUUAGAAGGAAAACAAAAAAACCCCAAGAGAUGGAACUUUCUGUAGAAUUGGAGAAAUAGCUUUGUUACAGCAGUGAUAAACGAGAUGUUUGAGGAGCCCACAGUGGCACAGCAGGUUACAGCGCAGUUCGAAAACAUGCAAAUGUGAGUAGAUCAAUAGGUACCACUCCGGUGGGAAGGUAAUGGCGGGCCAUGCAGUCAUGCCAGCCACAUGACCUUGGAGGUGUCUACAGACAACACCAGCUCUUCAGCUUAGAAAUUGAGAUGAGCAACACCCCUCCAGGGUCAGACACGACUAGACUUAAUGUCAGGGGAAAACCUUUACCUUUAUCUAAACUAGAUGUUCAUGGUCUCUACAUCUCCCACCCACCAGGGAUGAUGGUUUUGGAAUUCAAAAACAUCUGGAGAGCUACACAUCACUCUCUGCUGAUAUAUGAGGUUCUAGGGCCCCACACAGUUAUAGUGCUGUGAUUCCACUUUGACUGUUCAUCCUGUGGUUUCGUAGUUACGUUAUUCCCCCCCCCCCCCGAAAGCUGGAGCUGACAGACACGAGCUCACCCACUCCCUUGAUUUGAACUGCCGACCUUUCGCUCAGCAAUCCUACCGGCACAAGGGUUUAAUCCACUGUGCCACUGGGGGGUUCCUAGUUACACUACUGAAAUGCUAGAGCAAGGGUUUUCCAAAUUCCAGCCAGCUUCUCCAAUGCUCAGGAAUUCUGGAAGCUGAAGUCCAAAACACCUAGACGAACAAAAUUUGGGAAUCUAAGCACUCUAGUUAACACUUUAAAAGGUCAGUAGAAGGCUUCAGUCAUGUAGGGUAUAAACUCAGGCAGGAGCCGCAGUGGCACAAUGGGCUAAACCCUUGUGCCAGCUGAACUUCUGACCUCAAGGUUACCAGUUCAAAUCCACAAGAUGGGGUGAGCUCCUGUCUGUCAGCUCUAGCUUGCGAGGACAUGAGAUAAGCCUCCCAGCUAACACAUCCCAGGGUCUCCUGGACAAUGUCUCUUUAGACGGUCGAUUCUCUCACAUCAGAAGCGAUUUGUAAUAUGUUCUCAGGUUGCUUCUGACACGAUUAAAAAAUAACUCAGGUGAACUCAAUCGUGUUAAUAUCUAAGGGUGUGUCUACACUGUAGAAUUGAUAUAGUUUGACACCACUUUCAUUGACAUGGCUCAAUACUAUUGGAUCAUGGGAAUGGUAGUUUUACAAAGUCUUUAGACUUCUUAGCCAAAAAAAUGCCUGUGUUUCACUAAGCUACAAAUUUCAGGAUUCUAUAGCAUUGAACCAGUGAACAUGAAUUGCACAAUAUAGAUACACCUAAGUUAACAGAACUAGGGCUGGAUCUACACUGCUGUAUAAUUCAAUUAAUCUACAUUCUGAAACUGCAUUAUAUGGUAGUGUAGAUCCAGUCCAGGUUACACAACUCGAGUAGGAAUCAUUACAUAUCAAACAUAUUAUUUUUACUACUACUACUACUACCACCACUGCUACAAUUACUAUUAUCAUGUUUUAUUUCCAUUCUAGGACUCAAGGCAACUUACAAAAAAUUGAUAGAGUGACAAAAAAGUACAUCACAUAAAAGUUUAAAAUUUAAUUAACAGAAUUAAAAACAGCUAAAAGCAUAAACAUUAGAAAGAACAAGAACAGCCACCAACAACACAGCACAUGUAAGUCCCUUUAUUCUUCCAAUGCCUGCCAAAACAAACAGGGUUUACCUGCAUAUGAAAUCAUAGCAAGGAGGCAAUGUUCCCACCAGAGAGGGUAGAAGGGCCUCACCAGAAGAUUUCCCAAGGCAUAUAUAGCUUGUAUAGAGAGAUGUGAUCCUUUCACACAGCAAGGCAUUUUUACUCUUCUAAAUUUCUAGGAUAUGGCACAAGGCUUUACGAAAGAAAUCUCAUUUUUUUUGGGUCCUGUUCAUUUCCCAAAAUGAUCACCACCUGCUUUUGUGGUCUCGGUACUUUCUUUUGCAAUAACACUGCGGCCCAACAUUCUGGUCUUAUAAUAUCAGAUAUGUGUUCCAAACAAAUGGAUAAAAAGCUGGAUUGCAAUAGCUACUUACCCCGUAUACUCUUCCACACUUCCAGAUGCACAUUUAUGUCCCAGGCCACUAUUUCAAAAUGAUUUCAUAAAUGACGGUGAUUUUAUACAAAGUCAAUGCAACAGGCAUCCUAGACAUCCGUUUCUCUAUGCUUAAAGUCUCACAACAGUGCAACAUGUUUUUAUGACCUGUGGUUUUAUAAAGGGUUUUUAUUGCUUGUUUUAUUGUUUUAGUGUGCAAAUAUUAUUUCAAAUGCCUGGGUGCAUGAGUAAACUAUCCACCUCAUCACAGAGGCUGUUUUUUAGUGGCAGCGAUGGAUUUUGGGCGGUUUUGUCACAGACGGCUCCCAUCACACCCUGGAGAAGUACUUUCGGAGCUGCUCCGUGGUGAAACUGUCAAAAAAAAAACCUGCUGCCACCACUGAAAAAUAGCCGACAGCAAAAGAUUGGAGGCAUCCCGUCUUUUCAUAGGAAUCCACAGGGACAGGGAGCUUCCUGAAGUGAUGAGGCGGGGAAAAUCCGGGAUGGCGUAGGGCACAGGGCGACAAGUCCUCACACUCCCUGGGUGGGCGAUGUUGAGAUUACUGAGAUCUGUGAUGAUACGUGGUGAUUUGGGUGGCACGUGUGAAGAGGUCUUUGUUCCCUGUUUCAAAGAAACCAGCUCCAAACUGACCCGUGAUGUCUGCAUUCUGCUUUUGGACAGUCAACUUCUCUUUUUGGGGAGUUUCACCUGUAUUACAUAUCAAGGGAACUCUAAAGAAGAGAGAAGUAAAUCAUUGGGAUUGAACUCUUUGAGGUUUUCUACCUCCAACAAAGGCUAGAUCUGCACUACCAUAUAAAAUGACCUUGGAGAUGUCUAUGGCCAACAUCGGCUCUUCAGCUUAGAAAUGGAGAUGAGCAUCAACCCCCAGAGUCGGACACAACUGGACUUAAUGUCGGGGAAAAGCUUUACCUUUACCUAUAGUUUAUAGUAUCUUUGACUGAUGAAAAAGCCAGUGAAGCUUCAAAUGCUUAUAUGCCAUAUUUCAUGCUUUGGAGUUGGCCCAAUAAAGAUAUUGUUGCUUGUGGGUCUUGUAUUUUUUCCUGAAUAUUAUUUGUCUUGUUUGUUUUGUUUUGCAAGAAGCCCCCAUUCCACCUACUUUACCGACACCGGGAAAACCACAGCAGAAGCAGAAUUCUAGCUUUUGAAAAAGCACAAUCAGAGCAGCCAUGACCAUUUUAGGCUUGGGAGAGGCCUUUAAAAACAGGAAUUGAGCAGAAUAAUGUCCUGCACACUUCCUAUUUCAACAAAGGCCCCUCCUGGGCUUCAAUUAGCCUAAAGAGGCAGCAAAAUAGGAUGAAAGGGACGCUAUGCCUCCUAGUGGACAUUUUGCAGGCAUUUCUGGACAAUUUGGGGGAAGGCCGAUAAUUUUAAAAACGUUUUUGUGACAAGUAAUGUCUUUAACCUUGGGAGCUCCAGGGGCUUCCAAAUGUAGUAUCCCCACAGUUCUUUUCAGGGGCUUUGGGUGCAUUCUGGAACAAAAACAAUAUAUGUUGAUUUCUAUGGCCACAAAAAAUAGGAAGUGCCGUCAAACUGUAUUAAUUCUAUGCUGUAGAUGCAGCCUAGUACUAACUGGCAAACUGCCUCUCGUAUUUCAGGCAAUAUCCAUUAACUUAACUAGUAUCGAUUGAUAGCCUACAUUAAUUUGUCUAAUCACCUUUAUUAAAAGCCAUCUAGAUGACAUGACUUGAACAGACCUUCAAACUGAUCCAGCAAGGCUCAUGUUAUGUUCUUACACUCAUCUUCAUUUAAGUCCCACAAAAUCAGGGGCAAACUAGAGCAAAGAACAAUGAAGCUGAAAAUCUAUGAUGCAGUACAGAACCUUCCAUCCUGAAAACACGAAGUGCUCCACUGAAGUCUUGAAAUCUUAUCCAAGAAACCCUGGGUCAACUUAUCUCCUGGUCAAUGACGUGGCAGGAGAAAUACAACACACUGGAAACCAUAUGCUGUUGAGGAAACAUGAUGACGAUGACUAUUUUCCCCUCCUGUGUCACUUGUCCUCUCAUCCAGAACUGAUACCGUGGGAUUGCUCAACAGCUAUAGAGAAACUAGGCUACGUAAUUGCAAAACGGUAUUGUUUUUCUGCACUUGGCACAAGACACUUAAUCUAUAGAUAUAAAGGUCAAAGUUUGAUGUGUGUA
Molecule: long non-coding RNA, 6009 nt
Organism: Anolis carolinensis (green anole)
Lineage: Eukaryota; Metazoa; Chordata; Lepidosauria; Squamata; Anolidae
Exons: 3
Source: RefSeq, a predicted model, not a curated record